AAACAAAAUAACAUAUCUUAUUACCAAGAAUCAUAUUCAUAUUAGU
Molecule: small RNA, 46 nt
Filed under: Arabidopsis thaliana (thale cress)
Lineage: Eukaryota; Viridiplantae; Streptophyta; Magnoliopsida; Brassicales; Brassicaceae
Description: ATSL273790
Source: RNAcentral